GAUGAAGAACGUAGCGAAAUGCGAUAAGUAAUGUGAAUUGCAGAAUUCAGUGAAUCAUCGAAUCUUUGAACGCACAUUGCGCCCGCCAGUAUUCUGGCGGGCAUGCCUGUCCGAGCGUCAUUUCAACCCUCGAACCCCUCCGGGGGGUCGGCGUUGGGGACCUCGGGAGCCCCUAAGACGGGAUCCCGGCCCCGAAAUACAGUGGCGGUCUCGCCGCAGCCUCUCCUGCGCAGUAGUUUGCACAACUCGCACCGGGAGCGCGGCGCGUCCACGUCCGUAAAACACCCAACUUCUGAAAUGUUGACCUCGGAUCAAGUAGGAAUACCCGCUGAACUUAAGCAUAUCAAUAAGCGGAGGA
This 358-nucleotide unclassified non-coding RNA is filed under the name soil metagenome. RNAcentral's name for it is "partial contains 5.8S ribosomal RNA, internal transcribed spacer 2, and large subunit ribosomal RNA". The stretch from base 1 to 120 matches the Rfam family "5.8S ribosomal RNA", at positions 35 to 154 of the family's 154-position model. The record is from RNAcentral.